RNAcentral lists this small RNA (4151 nucleotides) under Pongo abelii (Sumatran orangutan). Its description in RNAcentral is "retained intron". The record is from RNAcentral. Lineage: Eukaryota; Metazoa; Chordata; Mammalia; Primates; Hominidae.
GCUGGGAUUACAAGCAUGCACCACCAUGCCUAGCUAAUUUUUGUAUUUUUAGUGGAGGUGGCAUUUCAGCAUAUUGGCGAGGCUGGUCUCAAACUUCUGGCCUCAUGUGAUCCACCCACCUCAGCCUCUCAAAGCACUGGGAUUACAGGUGUGAGCCACUGUACUUGGCCUAUUUUUCUCUUUAUUAUUGAGUUGUAAGAGUGAUUUGUAUAUAUUCUGUGUACUAGUCCCUCAUCAGAUAGAUGAUUGGCAAAUAUUUUUCCCAUUCUAUAGCUGUGUUUUCACUUACUCGAUGAUGUCCUUUGAAGUAUAAAGUUUUUAAUUUUGAUAAAGUCUACUUUAUUUUUUGUUGUUUAUGCUUUUAGCAUCAUAUCUAAGAAACCAUUGCCUAGUUCAAGGUCAUAAAGAUUUACACCUGUGUUUUCUUCUAAGCAUUUUAUUGUUUUUUUUGCCCCUAGCCCUUUAAUCCCAUUUGAGUUAAUUUUUUUUUUCUUUGAGAUGGAGUUUCGCUCUGUCACCCAGGCUGAAGUGCAGUGGCACAAUCUCAGCUCACUGCAAGCUCCGCCUACCAGCUUCACGCCAUUCUCCUGCCUCAGCCUCCCGAGUAGCUGGGACUACAGGCGCCCACCACCACACCUGGCUAUUUUUUUUGUAUUUUUAAUAGAGACAGGGUUUCACCGUGUUAGCCAGGAUAGUCUCAAUCUCCUGACUUUGUGAUCCGCCUACCUCAGCCUCCCAAAGUGCUGGGAUUACAGGUGUGAGCCACCAUGCCCAGCCUUGAGUUAAUUUUUAUGUAUGAUGCAAGGUAGGGGUUUGAAUUCAUUAUUUUACAUGAGGCUGUCCUGUUGUCCCAGCUCCGUUUGUUGAGAAGACUAUUCUUUUCCCCAUGGAAUGGUCUUGGCCUCCUUUUCAACCAUUAAUUGACCAUAUAUGUAUGAGUUUAAACCUGGAUACUUAUUCAUCUAUAUGCCCAGCCUUAUGCCAGUGCCAUGCUAGCUUGAUUACUGUAGCUUUAUAGUAAAUUUUGAAAUCUGUGGUUUGAAACUUUAAAAACUCUAUAUUGGGGAAAAAUGCAAACACUUGUAAGGGCCUGGCAGGUGCUGUAAAUGAAGGUGACUUAUUUUAAGGCACUAGGGAAGGGUGAAGAAUAUGACAAACCGGAGAACUUGCCACUCAUUAGAAAGCAGCCUCUCUUCUUAGCUCUAGUUUAUUAUUGCCAUGUAGGAAUGUGCACUGAGCAUUACAAAUGUUGUGUUUUCAAAAGAGAAACCAGGAUUACAAGUGUUAAUAUGAUAUUUUCCUUUUAAAAAAAUAAUAUGUCCAGGCCAAAUGAAGCAGAUAUGUAUGUCCAAUGUGCCUGUAAGCUGUCAGUUUUUGAUCCUGCCUUAUAUUCUCCAGGGUAGAACAUUCUUUCUCGUAUUAAAUGUGGUUACAUUAAUUACUGGCUAAGCCAGAAAUCAUGUUUAAUUAUGCUUUAGGUAAAUCCAUGUAUAGGAACUGAUAUACAUAUAGAAUAAACAUAUACAUAUGGAUUUUUGUUUAAUUAUUUGUGAGUGGGAUCUGCUUUCUUACCCUUCUAGUUCAGGGCCCCCAUAGCUUUCUUCCUUUAAAGUAUGUUCUUCUGUAUGGGUCUCACACACUGACCAUUUGGCUUCCCCAUCUCCAGAUCAUCUUUGCAGAUGAAUGCACAGAAGCUGAGGGGCGACACUGGCACAUGAAACACUUUUGUUGCUUCGAGUGUGAGACAGUGCUGGGCGGCCAGCGCUACAUCAUGAAGGAGGGAAGACCCUACUGUUGCCACUGCUUCGAGUCCUUGUAUGCAGAAUAUUGUGACACCUGUGCCCAACAUAUAGGUAUCGACCAAGGUCAAAUGACCUAUGACGGCCAACAUUGGCACGCCACCGAGACCUGUUUCUGCUGUGCUCACUGCAAGAAAUCCCUCCUGGGGCGGCCCUUCCUCCCGAAGCAGGGCCAGAUAUUCUGCUCACGGGCCUGCAGUGCUGGGGAAGACCCCAAUGGUUCUGACUCCUCCGAUUCCGCCUUCCAGAAUGCCAGGGCCAAGGAGUCCCGGCGCAGUGCCAAAAUUGGCAAGAACAAGGGCAAGACGGAGGAGCCCAUGCUGAACCAGCACAGCCAGCUGCAAGUGAGUUCCAACCGGCUGUCAGCCGAUGUAGACCCCCUGUCACUGCAGAUGGACAUGCUCAGCCUGUCCAGCCAGACACCCAGCCUCAACCGGGACCCCAUCUGGAGGAGCCGGGAAGAGCCCUACCAUUAUGGGAACAAGAUGGAGCAGAACCAGUCCCAGAGCCCUCUGCAGCUCCUCAGCCAGUGCAACAUCAGAACUUCCUACAGUCCAGGAGGGCAAGGGGCUGGGGCCCAGCCCGAAAUGUGGGGCAAGCACUUCAGCAACCCCAAAAGGAGCUCGUCACUGGCCAUGACAGGACAUGCUGGCAGCUUCAUCAAGGAAUGCCGAGAAGACUAUUACCCGGGGAGGCUGAGAUCUCAGGAGAGCUACAGUGAUAUGUCUAGUCAGAGUUUCAGUGAGACCCGAGGCAGCAUCCAAGUCCCCAAAUAUGAGGAGGAAGAGGAAGAGGAAGGGGGCAUGUCCACUCAGCAGUGUCGGACCCGUCAUCCCAUCAGUUCCCUGAAAUACACAGAGGACAUGACGCCCACAGAGCAGACCCCUCGGGGCUCCAUGGAAUCCCUGGCCCUGUCUAAUGCAACAGGUAGGUUCUGUUCACCUCGAAAACGGAUAGCAAGGGGGUAAUCUCUGGGUGACUGGAUGCUGGUCCCCAGGAAUUUUUUUUUUUUUUUUUUUUUUGAAAUGGAGUCUCCCUCUGUCCCCCAGGCUGGAGUGUAGUAGCACGAUCCCCGCUCACUGCAAGCUCCGCCUCCAGGUUCACGCCAUUCUCCUGCCUCAGCCUCCUGAGUAGUUGGUACUACAGGCGCCCGCCACCAUGCCUGGCUAAUUUUUUGUAUUUUUAGUACACACGUGUUUCACCGUGUUAGCCAGGAUGUUCUCGAUCUCCUGACCUCGUGAUCCACCUGCCUUGGCCUCCCAAAGUGGUAGGAUUACAGGUGUGAGCCACCGUGCCCGGCCUGGUCCUCAGGAUUUUAAUGUGGUUUCUGCCAUGUGCCCUCUUCCAAUAGGCUGCUGAGGAAGGUAAACCCAAGUUUGAGAUGGCUUCUAUCUUUGAUGGGCUUCCCUGUAAACAAAACCUGAGACAGGUCCAGAUGCCUGUGAUGUAUUGAGGGAGUGCUCCCAGGAGAAGGGGAGUGAGAGAAAGAGGACAGAGCACGGGGAGGAGCCAAGUGAGGAAUGGUGUCUCCACUGGGGUCUGGCUUCUGCCUAAUCCCACAGGGGACUCUGAUGGAUGAGUUGCACUAUAGAGUCAAUUGCUUCUUGUGACAAAGGGGCUGAUGUUUUGUACCAUCGUGUCAGUUGGUCAUCAGCUUUGGGCUGCUGAGGAGUGACAAGGGGGUGAGAUUGUGGAUGUGGGCUUGGGGCAAGGCAGCUCCUGUUGGCCAAAGGCAGCAUUAAAGAAAGAAAAUACUAUGGUCUGAAUGUUUUCCCCAAAAUUCCUAAGUUAAGAUCCUAAAUCCCAAGGUGAUGGCAUUAGGAGUUGGGGCCUUUUGGGAGGUGACUAAGUCAUGAGAGUGGAGACCUCAUGAAUGGGAUUAAUGCCCUUAUAAAAGAGGCCCAAGGGAACUUGUUUGCCGCUUGUACCCUAUGAAGGUGGAGAAGGUGUAGCUGUGAGCUGAUGGCAGUACUCACAGCAGCCAGAGCCCAGUUGCCCCAGCCUGGUGCUGCUUGGGGCACCAAAUCAUCCAUGACAGCUUCUGAGACUGUUCUGAACCUGUUUCUCACCAGGGAACUGGCUUCAAAGUGCGGAUAAAGACAUAAGAAAUGUCUGGCUAGACAAGGAGAAGACAGGCAGGCUGAAAAGAACAGAAGUAGAGAGAGAUAAUGGCAUGCUUCUUUCUCCAGUGAAGUUGUCCAGCUGGUUUUGUGUGCGUGGGAAGACUGAUGUUGGCCAGGCGUGGUGGCUCAUGCCUGUAAUUCCAGCACUUUGGGAGGCCAAGGCAGGAGGAUCACUUGAGGCCAGGAGUUUGAGACCAGCCUGGGCAACAUAGUGAGACUCUGUCUCUAC